Molecule: ribosomal RNA, 429 nt
Filed under: Chloroflexota bacterium
Lineage: Bacteria; Bacillati; Chloroflexota
Description: Chloroflexi bacterium partial 16S ribosomal RNA
Rfam family: Bacterial small subunit ribosomal RNA
Source: RNAcentral
UGGGGAAUAUUGCACAAUGGGCGCAAGCCUGAUGCAGCCAUGCCGCGUGUAUGAAGAAGGCCUUCGGGUUGUAAAGUACUUUCAGUCGGGAGGAAGGUGGUAAGGUUAAUAACCUUGGCAAUUGACGUUACCGACAGAAGAAGCACCGGCUAACUCCGUGCCAGCAGCCGCGGUAAUACGGAGGGUGCAAGCGUUAAUCGGAAUUACUGGGCGUAAAGCGCACGCAGGCGGUUUCUUAAGUCUGAUGUGAAAGCCCCCGGCUCAACCGGGGAGGGUCAUUGGAAACUGGGAGACUUGAGUGCAGAAGAGGAGAGUGGAAUUCCAUGUGUAGCGGUGAAAUGCGUAGAUAUAUGGAGGAACACCAGUGGCGAAGGCGGCUCUCUGGUCUGUAACUGACGCUGAGGCUCGAAAGCGUGGGGAGCAAACAGG